Amphimedon queenslandica is the source of this 238-nucleotide long non-coding RNA. RefSeq lists it as uncharacterized. NCBI's taxonomy places the organism in Eukaryota, Metazoa, Porifera, Demospongiae, Haplosclerida, Niphatidae. The transcript is spliced from 2 exons. The record is from RefSeq and is a predicted model, not a curated record.
UUGUUAGAUUGGAGAUCUAAUUGAAGUUAUGUAUUUUGCUGCCAAGUCUCCACAAGAAAGAAAUGAAUGGAUGGAGGCAUUUCGCAUGGCUGCCAUUGAUAAAGGCAAUGAGUUACUUUUAAAGCAUCAUCCUGGAGUGUAUGGCCUGACUAAUAAGGACAGGUGGAGCUGCUGUGGCAGAGCUAGGAGAGAAUGUGAAGGGUGUGCUGAUUCAAGAGGAGCUCUUAAAAUGCUGGGA